RNAcentral lists this ribosomal RNA (1048 nucleotides) under Bacillus safensis. RNAcentral describes it as "bacterial SSU rRNA". It matches the Rfam family "Bacterial small subunit ribosomal RNA", at positions 39 to 1026 of the family's 1533-position model. Lineage: Bacteria; Bacillati; Bacillota; Bacilli; Caryophanales; Bacillaceae. The record is from RNAcentral.
GCGGAUGCUACCGCUAUACAUGCAGUCGAGCGGACAGAAGGGAGCUUGCUCCCGGAUGUUAGCGGCGGACGGGUGAGUAACACGUGGGUAACCUGCCUGUAAGACUGGGAUAACUCCGGGAAACCGGAGCUAAUACCGGAUAGUUCCUUGAACCGCAUGGUUCAAGGAUGAAAGACGGUUUCGGCUGUCACUUACAGAUGGACCCGCGGCGCAUUAGCUAGUUGGUGGGGUAAUGGCUCACCAAGGCGACGAUGCGUAGCCGACCUGAGAGGGUGAUCGGCCACACUGGGACUGAGACACGGCCCAGACUCCUACGGGAGGCAGCAGUAGGGAAUCUUCCGCAAUGGACGAAAGUCUGACGGAGCAACGCCGCGUGAGUGAUGAAGGUUUUCGGAUCGUAAAGCUCUGUUGUUAGGGAAGAACAAGUGCGAGAGUAACUGCUCGCACCUUGACGGUACCUAACCAGAAAGCCACGGCUAACUACGUGCCAGCAGCCGCGGUAAUACGUAGGUGGCAAGCGUUGUCCGGAAUUAUUGGGCGUAAAGGGCUCGCAGGCGGUUUCUUAAGUCUGAUGUGAAAGCCCCCGGCUCAACCGGGGAGGGUCAUUGGAAACUGGGAAACUUGAGUGCAGAAGAGGAGAGUGGAAUUCCACGUGUAGCGGUGAAAUGCGUAGAGAUUGUGGAGGAACACCAGUGGCGAAGGCGACUCUCUGGUCUGUAACUGACGCUGAGGAGCGAAAGCGUGGGGAGCGAAACAGGAUUAGAUACCCCUGGUAGUCCACGCCGUAAAACGAUGAGUGCUAAGUGGUUUAGGGGGGUUUCCGCCCCCUUAGUGCUGCAGCUAACGCAUUAAGCACUCCGCCCUGGGGGAGUACGGGUCGCAAGGACUGAAAACUCAAAGGGAAUUUGACGGGGGGCCCGCACAAAGCGGGUGGAAGCCAUGUUGGUUUUAAUUUCGAAAGCAAACGCGGAAGAAACCUUUACCCAGGGUCUUUGAACAUCCCUCUGGACAACCCCUAGAAGAAUAGGGGCUUUUCCCCUUUCCGGGG